UCAUCAGGUAGGAUAAUCCUCACCUGUUCCUCCUUUUGGAGGGCAGAUACAGAGCGAAGUAAGUCAGAAAGAGAAGAACAAAUAUCGUACCAUAUCGCUUAU
This is a small nucleolar RNA of Eubalaena glacialis (North Atlantic right whale), 102 nucleotides long. RefSeq annotates it as U8 small nucleolar RNA. The record is from RefSeq and is a predicted model, not a curated record. The transcript has a single exon. NCBI's taxonomy places the organism in Eukaryota, Metazoa, Chordata, Mammalia, Artiodactyla, Balaenidae.